RNAcentral lists this ribosomal RNA (491 nucleotides) under uncultured bacterium. RNAcentral describes it as "partial 16S ribosomal RNA". It matches the Rfam family "Bacterial small subunit ribosomal RNA", at positions 29 to 507 of the family's 1533-position model. The record is from RNAcentral.
AGUGAACGCUGGCGGUAGGCCUAACACAUGCAAGUCGAACGGCAGCACAGUAAGAGCUUGCUCUUACGGGUGGCGAGUGGCGGACGGGUGAGGAAUACAUCGGAAUCUACUUUUUCGUGGGGGAUAACGUAGGGAAACUUACGCUAAUACCGCAUACGACCUACGGGUGAAAGCAGGGGAUCUUCGGACCUUGCGCGAUUGAAUGAGCCGAUGUCGGAUUAGCUAGUUGGCGGGGUAAAGGCCCACCAAGGCGACGAUCCGUAGCUGGUCUGAGAGGAUGAUCAGCCACACUGGAACUGAGACACGGUCCAGACUCCUACGGGAGGCAGCAGUGGGGAAUAUUGGACAAUGGGCGCAAGCCUGAUCCAGCCAUACCGCGUGGGUGAAGAAGGCCUGCGGGUUGUAAAGCCCUUUGUUGGGAAAGAAAAGCAGCAGGUUAAUACCCCGCUGUUCUGACGGUACCCAAAGAAUAAGCACCGGCUAACUUCGUG